AGAGUUUGAUCCUGGCUCAGAUUGAACGCUGGCGGCAUGCCUUACACAUGCAAGUCGAACGGCAGCACGGGAGCAAUCCUGGUGGCGAGUGGCGAACGGGUGAGUAAUACAUCGGAACGUGUCCUGGAGUGGGGGAUAGCCCGGCGAAAGCCGGAUUAAUACCGCAUACGCUCUGAGGAGGAAAGCGGGGGAUCUUCGGACCUCGCGCUCAAGGGGCGGCCGAUGGCAGAUUAGCUAGUUGGUGGGGUAAAGGCCUACCAAGGCGACGAUCUGUAGCUGGUCUGAGAGGACGACCAGCCACACUGGGACUGAGACACGGCCCAGACUCCUACGGGAGGCAGCAGUGGGGAAUUUUGGACAAUGGGCGCAAGCCUGAUCCAGCAAUGCCGCGUGUGUGAAGAAGGCCUUCGGGUCGUAAAGCACUUUUGUCCGGAAAGAAAACUUCCGCCCUAAUACGGUGGGGGGAUGACGGUACCGGAAGAAUAAGCACCGGCUAACUACGUGCCAGCAGCCGCGGUAAUACGUAGGGUGCAAGCGUUAGUCGGAAUUACUGGGCGUAAAGCGUGCGCAGGCGGUCCGUUAAGACAGAUGUGAAAUCCCCGGGCUUAACCUGGGAACUGCAUUUGUGACUGGCGGACUCGAGUAUGGCAGAGGGGGGUAGAAUUCCACGUAGCAGUGAAAUGCGUAGAGAUGUGGAGGAAUACCGAUGGCGAAGGCAGCCCCCUGGGCCAAUACUGACGCUCAUGCACGAAAGCGUGGGGAGCAAACAGGAUUAGAUACCCCUGUAGUCC
This 791-nucleotide ribosomal RNA is filed under the name uncultured bacterium. RNAcentral describes it as "bacterial SSU rRNA". It matches the Rfam family "Bacterial small subunit ribosomal RNA", at positions 8 to 796 of the family's 1533-position model. The record is from RNAcentral.